CUAAUGAUCAUCCCUGACGGUGCCUCUGCAAUGAGGUGAAAAGGGAACGCGGUGUGAUACCGCGGCUGCCCCCGCAACUGUAAGCGGCGAGUUUCGCGCCAUCGGCCACUGGGAUUGUCCCGGGAAGGCGGCGAGAGAUCCGGACCCGCGAGCCAGGAGACCUGCCGUCAGCGAGUGAUGCAA
This 183-nucleotide non-coding RNA is filed under the name Allobosea sp. LC85. Lineage: Bacteria; Pseudomonadati; Pseudomonadota; Alphaproteobacteria; Hyphomicrobiales; Alloboseaceae. The record is from RNAcentral. RNAcentral also lists the same sequence under 1 other name.